CUGAUCGCGCCGGGGCAGGCGGCCGCCAGGAGGAGAAGGAGGGAGAAGGGCCCAGCUCGCCCCCCACCACUCCGACAGCCCCCCCGGUUCGCCCCCUCCCUCCCCAGCCGCCGCAGCGGCCAUCUUCGCAGCCUCGCCCUCCGCAGCGCAACGUGCGCUCCGGGCGGAGCAUGCGGGGGGCGGAGGAGCCGCAGAUCGCGGAGGAUAUGUCAGAAGAAGACAGAGUCCUGGAAGGCCUGGAGGAGUUUUAUCCGGAGGAGCCGGUGAACAUCCAGAAGAAGAAGAAGAAGGCAACCAAGAAGCCGAAGGAGAACAAGGCAUCCAAAGUCAAGCGGAAGAAGAAGGAGGGGAGCCACAAUGAUGAAAUCUCUGAAAAUGAGGAGCGGCCGGGAGAAAAAUCGGAGAGUGAGGGCAGUGACUAUUCCCCGAACAAAAAGAAGAAGAAGAAGCUGAAAGAGAAAAAGGAGAAAAAACUGAAGCACAAAAGGAAAGAUGGCAAUGAGGAGGAGAAUGAAGAAGGAGGCCUGAAGCAGCCGCCUCCUGAACGGCAUGGAUACAAAGACGACUACAGCCAGGAGCCCAAGACCUCGGCCCAACUCAUGGAAGAGUGGGGGUUGGAUGAUGUGGACUAUGCUUUUUCCAAAGAAGACUAUCACAUGCUGACGAAUUACAAGGCUUUCAGCCAGUUUCUUAGGCCUCUAGUUGCCAAAAGGAACCCCAAAAUCCCAAUGUCCAAGAUGAUGACUGUUCUGGGGGCCAAGUGGCGGGAGUUCAGCGCCAACAAUCCUUUCAAAGGCAGUUCAGCAGCUGCUGCCGCUGCCGCCAUAGCUGCGGCUGUGGAAACUGUUGCUGUUGCCCCGGCCCCGCUGACCGCCAGCCCCCAGCAACUGCUGCCGCCGCCACCUGCCAUCAGGAAAGCCAAAACCAAGGAAGGAAAGGGUCCCGGUGUGCGGAAGAAAAUUAAGAACACCAAAGACAUCAAGAAGAAGGGGAAAGGGAAGAAGGCAGGGGCUCUGAAAUUCCGCUUCGGAGGAAUUGCCAGCAAGAGGAAAAAGGUCUCCUCGAGCGAGGAGGAAGAACGGGAGGAAUCUGACCUGGACAGCGCCAGCAUCAACAGCUCCUCCGUACGCUCCGAGUCCUCGGCCGGCCUGGGGAAGAGGGGCAAGAGGCGGAAGAAGAAGAAGAGAAUUGAAGAAGGCGAUGGAUACGAGACGGACCACCAAGAUUACUGUGAGGUGUGCCAGCAGGGAGGGGAAAUAAUUCUCUGCGACACAUGUCCCCGGGCCUACCACCUUGUCUGUUUGGACCCAGAGCUGGAGAAGGCACCGGAGGGCAAAUGGAGCUGCCCACACUGCGAGAAGGAAGGCAUCCAGUGGGAGCCAAAGGAUGAGGAAGAUGAGGAAGAAGAGGGUGGUGAGGAAGAGGAUGAUCACAUGGAAUUCUGCCGCGUCUGUAAGGAUGGAGGAGAGCUUCUUUGCUGCGACACCUGUCCCUCCUCCUAUCACCUGUACUGCCUCAACCCACCGCUGCCAGAGAUACCAAAUGGUGAAUGGCUCUGCCCUCGUUGUACAUGCCCGCCGUUAAAAGGGAAAGUUCAGCAGAUCCUCCACUGGAUCUGGAAGGAGCCUUCAGCCCUGCUUGCAUCAGCCUUGUCCUCAGCAGAUCCUGAGUUGGUGCUCCCUCCACCAAAGCCCCUGGGGGGGAUCCCCGAGAGAGAAUUCUUUGUGAAAUGGGCAGGGCUCUCUUACUGGCACUGCUCUUGGGUCAAGGAACUGCAGCUGGAGCUCUACCACACUGUGAUGUACCGCAAUUACCAAAGAAAGAAUGAUAUGGACGACCCACCAGCUUUUGACUAUGGCUCUGGUGACGAGGACAGCAAGAUUGAGAAGCGGAAGAACAAAGACCCCGAGUACGCCAAGAUGGAGGAGAUGUAUUAUCGCUAUGGUAUCAAGCCUGAAUGGAUGAUGAUUCACCGUAUACUCAACCACAGCUUUGACAAGAAGGGAGAUGUUCAUUACCUGAUCAAGUGGAAGGACUUGCCAUAUGACCAGUGCACCUGGGAGGUGGAUGAGAUUGACAUUCCUUACUACGAGAAUUUCAAGCAGCAAUACUGGAAUCACAGGGAGAGGAUGCUGGGAGAAGAGGGCAGCCAGGCCUCCAAGAGGCUGAUCAAGAAAGGGAAGAAGCUGGAAAGGCCUCCGGAAUCACCCCUUGUGGAUCCUACAGUGAAAUUUGACACGCAGCCGUGGUAUAUUGAUGCCACUGGUGGGACCCUACAUCCUUACCAGCUGGAGGGUCUCAACUGGCUGCGGUUUUCCUGGGCGCAGGGAACAGACACCAUCCUCGCUGAUGAGAUGGGCCUAGGCAAGACUGUCCAAACCAUUGUGUUUCUUUACUCCCUUUACAAAGAGGGCCACUCCAAAGGCCCAUAUCUGGUCAGUGCUCCCCUCUCCACCAUCAUCAACUGGGAACGGGAGUUUGAGCUGUGGGCGCCCGACUUCUACGUGGUCACGUACACGGGGGAUAAGGAAAGCCGGUCCGUGAUCCGUGAGAAUGAGUUCUCCUUUGAGGACAACGCCAUCCGGAGCGGAAAGAAAGUUUUUCGGAUGAAGAAAGAAGCUCAGAUCAAGUUCCAUGUCCUGCUGACAUCCUAUGAGCUCAUCACAAUCGACCAGGCCAUUCUGGGAUCCAUCGAGUGGGCAUGCCUGGUGGUGGAUGAAGCCCACAGGCUGAAAAACAACCAGUCCAAAUUCUUUAGGAUGCUCAACAGCUACAAAAUUGACUAUAAGCUGCUACUGACUGGGACACCUCUCCAGAACAACCUUGAGGAGCUUUUCCAUCUGCUCAACUUCCUCACGCCGGAGAGGUUCAACAACCUGGAGGGGUUCCUGGAAGAGUUUGCUGACAUCUCCAAGGAAGACCAGAUUAAAAAGCUGCACGAUCUUUUGGGACCUCACAUGCUGAGGAGGCUGAAGGCCGACGUGUUCAAGAACAUGCCGGCCAAGACAGAGCUGAUUGUGAGGGUGGAACUCAGCCAGAUGCAGAAGAAGUAUUACAAGUUAAUCCUGACGAGGAACUUCGAGGCUCUGAAUUCGAAAGGGGGUGGCAACCAGGUCUCCCUGCUCAAUAUCAUGAUGGACCUCAAGAAGUGUUGUAACCAUCCAUAUCUUUUCCCUGUGGCAGCCGUGGAAGCCCCAGUAUUGCCAAACGGAUCCUAUGAUGGCAGCUCGCUGGUGAAGUCGUCCGGGAAGCUGAUGUUGCUGCAGAAGAUGCUGAAGAAGUUGCAUGUCGGGGGCCAUCGGGUGCUCAUCUUCUCCCAGAUGACAAAAAUGCUGGACUUGUUGGAGGAUUUCUUGGAAUACGAGGGCUAUAAAUAUGAGCGGAUUGAUGGUGGGAUUACUGGAGGACUGAGGCAGGAAGCCAUCGACAGGUUUAAUGCUCCUGGAGCCCAGCAAUUCUGUUUCCUGCUCUCCACCCGAGCCGGCGGUUUGGGCAUAAACCUUGCAACGGCAGACACAGUCAUAAUUUACGAUUCUGACUGGAAUCCCCACAAUGACAUCCAGGCGUUCAGCCGAGCCCAUCGGAUUGGGCAGAAUAAGAAGGUGAUGAUCUAUCGCUUUGUGACGAGGGCCUCUGUUGAGGAACGCAUCACCCAGGUGGCCAAGAGGAAGAUGAUGUUGACGCAUUUGGUGGUGCGCCCGGGCCUUGGCUCCAAGUCGGGCUCCAUGACGAAGCAAGAGCUGGAUGACAUCCUGAAGUUUGGAACAGAGGAACUCUUCAAGGACGAUGUUGAGGGGAUGAUCUCUCAGGGCCAGCGGAUUGGCAUGCCUGAGGUGGUGGCCCCUUUCACAGAGGCACCGGCCUCCAAAGGGGGGACAGUGACUCCCACCGUGAAGAAGAAACACGGCACCACUCCACCAGGUGACAAUAAGGAUGUCGAAGACAGCAGCGUGAUCCAUUAUGACGACGCGGCCAUCUCGAAGCUCCUUGACCGGAACCAGCAUGCCACCGACGACACGGAGCUGCAGAACAUGAACGAGUAUCUCAGCUCUUUUAAAGUGGCUCAGUAUGUUGUGAGAGAAGAGGAUGGUGUGGAGGAGGUUGAACGUGAAAUCAUCAAGCAGGAGGAGAAUGUGGACCCUGACUACUGGGAGAAGCUUCUGAGGCACCACUAUGAACAACAGCAAGAGGACCUGGCCCGCAACCUGGGGAAAGGGAAGAGAGUCCGUAAGCAGGUCAACUACAAUGAUGCAUCACAGGAGGACCAAGAGUGGCAGGAUGAGCUGUCAGACAAUCAGUCUGAGUACUCCAUCGGCUCUGAAGAUGAGGAUGAAGACUUUGAGGAGCGGCCGGAAGGUCAGAGUGGUCGGAGGCAGUCCCGCAGGCAGCUGAAGAGUGACAGGGACAAGCCCCUCCCACCAUUAUUGGCGAGAGUCGGCGGGAACAUUGAGGUGUUGGGCUUUAACGCCCGUCAGCGGAAAGCAUUCUUGAAUGCCAUUAUGCGCUGGGGGAUGCCACCUCAGGAUGCCUUCAACUCCCACUGGCUUGUGCGGGAUCUCCGUGGGAAAAGUGAAAAGGAGUUCAGAGCGUACGUUUCUCUCUUCAUGAGGCAUUUAUGUGAGCCUGGGGCGGAUGGUGCUGAGACCUUUGCUGAUGGCGUCCCCCGCGAGGGGUUGUCCCGCCAGCAUGUGCUGACGCGCAUUGGAGUGAUGUCACUCGUAAGGAAGAAGGUUCAGGAGUUCGAACCCGUCAAUGGGAAAUGCAGCACCCCUGACCUCAUCCCAGAAGGCCUGGAGAGCAAAAAAUGCAGCGAGGUUCUGUCUUCGGACCCAAAUACGCCUGUCCCGGCCAGCCCGGCUCAUGGGCAGGUGGGACCUACGUCACAACCAGACAAAGUGGACGCACAGCCAGGGAUCCCCGAGGAGAAGGAACAAUUGGAACAGAGGACAAAAAAGUCACGGGAUAACCAGGUGCCGGGUAGCGGAGAGAAGACAGAGAAUGAUGACAAGGAGGAGAUUGCGGAGAUCCAAGCGAAAUCUGGAGAAAACAGUGUUGAAGAGGGCGAGAAAGCAGAGCUUCUCACUGAGCAGCCAGUUAAAGCUCUUAUAGAUGAGGCCUCCCAGGAGAAUGAAAAGCCAGCGGAAAAGCCAGAAUUAAAUGCUAGCCCCUAUGAAGGAAUCAGUAAAGAAUCCAAGUCAGAUGACACCAAGGGGGAAGAGAAGGAGCCAGUGGAGGUUCAGCAAAAUGGUGAAAAGGAGGAUGAAGAGGAUGGGAAGAAGGACGAGAAGAGCGGGAUCCGAUUCAUGUUCAACAUCGCUGACGGGGGCUUCACAGAGUUGCACACGCUGUGGCAGAAUGAAGAGAGGGCGGCUGUCUCCUCGGGGAAGAUUUACGACAUCUGGCACCGGAGGCACGAUUACUGGCUCCUAGCAGGAAUCGUCACUCAUGGCUACGCCCGCUGGCAAGACAUACAGAAUGACCCACAUUAUGUCAUCCUCAAUGAGCCCUUCAAGUCAGAGAUCCACAAGGGCAACUACCUGGAAAUGAAGAAUAAGUUCCUGGCACGGCGGUUCAAGUUGCUGGAGCAGGCCUUGGUGAUCGAGGAGCAGCUUCGCAGGGCUGCAUACCUCAACAUGACCCAGGACCCAAACCACCCGGCCAUGGCCUUGAACGCCCGCUUGGCUGAAGUGGAGUGCCUUGCUGAGAGCCACCAGCAUCUCUCCAAAGAAUCCCUCGCUGGGAAUAAGCCUGCCAACGCCGUCCUUCAUAAAGUCCUGAACCAGCUGGAAGAGCUGCUGAGUGACAUGAAGGCUGACGUGACUCGAUUGCCCUCCAUGCUGUCCCGUAUUCCACCAGUGGCUGCUCGCCUGCAAAUGUCUGAGAGAAGCAUCCUAAGUCGUCUGACAAACCGGGGGAGCGACCCCACUGUCCAGCAGGCCUCUUUUGGCUCCUCCCAGAUUUACAGCAACAACUUUGGUCCAAACUUUCGCGGUCCAGGACCAGGUGGGAUUGUUAACUACAGCCAGAUGCCCCUUGGACCUUAUGUGACAGAUAUUUAGCCGUUUUCGAGAGUUUCCUCUGCAGUUCUCAUUGCUACGAGAGUUUUUAUCCUGUUUUAGUUCUCCAAGAAGAUUGAGAAGGGGGCUUGAAAUGGUUCUUCCCUCCCAAUUAUCCUCACAACAGCCCUGCCAGCGACUCCCAACAGACUGCCCCUGAGCCACUCGGAUAAAAAGGUGCCCGACGUCCUGAAAGAUGGUGUACCCUUGGGACGGCAUCAUGACAUCAUCUGCAUUGAAGAUUAAAGGCUAGUCUUGGUGGCUCUGGGCUUGCCAUGUUCAUAUCUAAAAGUGUUCUAAACUAGGACACACACCCCACCUCAAGGCCAUUUCACAAACUUCUUCGAGACAGUGGAAUUUCACUUCCUUGGUUUUUCUUUUGCACUUUCUUACUGAAGACUUGAAGAAUUUGUUGGCUGGAUUACAAAAGGAUUAUUGAGUUUUUACCCUGGACUUCGUGCUCCAUUCAUACACACAUGUACACAACUGGAGGGGAGACAGGGAGUGGGUGCCAUGGUGCCAUUUUUCCCCUGGGAUGUGAGACAGUCACCAGCCAAGUACAGUGCCUCGCCUAUGUCUGUUCAGCCUGUGCUUGGGAAAGGUACAUGUUGACUCUUCAGUGAACAGGCCAGGUUGGGUUGGAUGUGUGUGUGUGUGUUUGUGUGUGAGGGGGAGGAGGCUCUGAGGCAUGUGUUCAAGACUGGAUAUGAAUCCCCCAUUUGACUGAAAAUGCCUGCUGAGGUUCAAAAAGGAAAUAAGGAAACAGGGCCUCUGUCCAGCCAACGACUGGUUUCCUUGGGAGCUAAUAACCGUGUUAACUCUCUGUCCCAUUGAAGUCAAUGGACAUUCAGUGCUUAAUGGCGUCUGGAUUGUGGUCAUGGUGCAAGGAGUUGAGGGUUUUGUGAGGGCAAAGAAAUGUCAUUUUCAAUAGGCCCCAGUAACUAUAUGAAAAGAUAUAUGAAAGCACCAGACAUGGAGUUAUCAAGGCCCAUUUCACACGUGUGCAUUGGUUGAUUUCUCUCUGCUCGGCGGUAGGUAGAUGUGAAAACUGACUGCACCAAAAAUAAUGGCUUUUGCGGUGCUACAAAAAUCUUUGGGAUUUAUAACUGCGACUGCACAUGCCCAAGAGAUGCCAGAUAACCAUCACAACCUGGCCUGCUAUCAGGAGAUGAAUGUGUAUGUGUAAACCAGCUUUGAGUGUACGUUCAUCAAGCUUAGAGGACUGCAUUAAUGCACAUGGAGUUGUGUGAACCACACGAUGCUAAGUCCACAUAACUUUUCCAGAAUGUAAUCCAGAAGGAGACUCCCAGCUUGGAGUUUCUCCACAUCUGUAUGGUAGGGCAAUUGGUUCUAAAGGUUUGGAUUCCAACCUUUUUUUUAACCUGGGGGAACAGUGCGAUGUCAGUACACAUGUGCCCCUGUCUGAGUCCCAGAAAUCUAUCUUGAUCCCUGGGAAUGCCCACUGCCAAAUACAUGUGGUUGCCCAAACAAGGGGCCCAGGGUUCCAGGUAGACAGGGAGGCAAAGCAAGGCAGGGUCAGCACCUUGGAGAGGGAUCCAGGUGUGGGUUUCAGGACCAUGGUUAGUGAUUCUGCAGCCAAGGUAGAGCAUAGAAGUUGUCUAGGAGCAACUGACAGAUCUUUACCAUCAGUAUUCAUUGACUACAAGCCCCACCCUCUGAAUUCUGUAUCUGGCCAAUUAAAGGUCCAGUGCCUUCCUCUGUUGGCUUCUUCCAGGGCCCCGGGGUUUCAGUCUGUAGGGAUACCACCUCCUCCUCCUCAGGGAUCUCCUGAUCAUCAGAGUUUGGUGGCAGUGGUGCCCCCUCAAGGUUCAGAUGAAGAGAGGUGAGCUCUGGUGCCUGUGGUUCCACAUGGUAUGAAUCAGGGAGUGGAUGAGUAUCCUCCUUGGGGCUACCACCAGAGGAGGACUCUGUCUUUGAAGAUCCCUAUUCUGGGCCCAUGCCAAAACCAGUGUUUCCCCGACAAGGGCAGCCCAACAAGUGUAUAUAUUUUUGAUGGGUCAUGUGAGUAUCGCAGGCACCUAAUGGAUGGUCCUGGGAUGGUCACAGUUGGAUGUGCCUCAAGUUCCUGCCCUGGCUCUUUUGAAUACCCAUCAUUAUUUAGGAUGCUUUCCUGCUGUUUACUUUUCCCCUACACUAUUCAGUGAAGGUUGUGCACUCAACUUUUACAGCACAUGAGCGUAUACUCCCAAUUAUUUUUUAAUUGUCUGACCAAAUGAAUUGAGGCUAGCAACAAAAGCUCAUCCUGCUCACUUCUCAAGUGAGAAUGGGGAUUUAGUUCCUUAUGGUUCUCCAGUGCAAUGCCAUGACAGAGAGAGGCAUAAGAUGCUGCGUGGAGAGGCCUGCAAAGGCCUCCUGUGAGCAGCUCAGGAUGCCAUAUUAAAUUUCCAGAUCCCGAGACAUUUUGAAGCACCUUUUCAACAUUAUCAAUCCCUGCAAAUGUGGGGAUUCAGCCUCCCCUGGACCAUUGUUAAUCCCUACCAUUGUGGGCAUCCUCUUUCCUGUAGGAAGAACCAUUGGAGAGAGCAGAAGCUGUCCAGAAGUGUUCACUGUGACAUCUUCAGUGUGCCCAAAUAAAUUCUGUAACUAAAGCCAGCGCUGUGGGAAACUGGAGCCUGGGGUGACUCUCGAAACUACUUCAUUGGGACAGAUUGAACUUGUGUAGAGCGGGGGGGGGGGAGGAGUACCUGUGCCUCUCCAGGUGUUGUUGGGCUAUAACUCCCAUCACCCCUGACUAUUGGCCAUACUGGAUGGCUGGGCCAAGGAGAGUUUGAGACCAACAACAUCUAGAGGGCCACAGGCUCCCCAUCCCUGGGGUAGGGGUUGGCCAGAAUGGAAAGAUUCUGCUUCCCUUUGUCCUCGCCACAGUAUUGCAGCCUUGCCAAAUAGCGGUUAAUAUUGUGGUUUUACGCUCUGUGCCAUUGAUUGAUUUGGAUCUUGGAGGAGCAUGCAAAUAGACAAAGAGACCCUUUCUGGGGCCUGCCUCUGAGCUGGUCAUGGGUAAGGUUCACAACCAGACAGUAUUUUAUUGGUAUAUGAUUGAAUAAUCAGAUUGUCAGGGAAUCAGUUUUUCACUCUGAAAAGCCAGUGAGCUUUUGAUUCUGUUAGGCUCAGCCCAAGAGUUGCCUGCACUGGUUCCACCCCAACUCCCCAGUUCCUGGGUGGCACGGCUGUUCUCCUGUGGCUCUGCCAAAGGUGUCAGUGCCAACUCACGUUUAAGGAGCCCUCUCCCUUCCUCCCCCUCCAUUGUAAGAAAAACCUGAGUAGAAAGUAUGAGAUGUAACCAGCUAAAUCUCAUCCAUACUGAUGGACCUAAGUUAGUGAUAGAAUAGUAGAGUUGGAAGGGGCCUGUAAGGCCAUCCAGUCCAACUCCUUGUUCAAUGCAGGAAUCCAAAUGAAAGCAUCCCUGACAGCUGCCUCUUGAAGGCCUCCAGUAUCAGAGAGCCCACCACCUCCCAAGGUCAUUGGUCCCAUUGUCAUGUUGCUCUAACAGUUAGGAAGUUUUUCUUGAUGUUCAGCUGAAAUCCGGCUUCCUGCAACUUGAGCCCAUUAUUUCAUUUCCUGCACCCUGGGACAAUCGAGAAGAGAUCCUGGCCCUCCUCUGAGUGACAACCUUUCAAGGACUUAAUGUCCAGGGUUUACAAAAAAACUAGGCGUUGAAGCAGUUGAAGAGAGUAGGACUAGCCCUGAAUACAACCCUUGUGACAUAAAUGUGGGCGAGACCAGUUCAUCUUCUCUUUUAAGCUACUUUGUCAUAUUGAUGCUUGGCUUUGAUUUCUGUGAUACCAGCAACUGGGACAGCAAAGCAGUGCUCUUUUUUCUCCCCAGGUGGCCUUUGUGGUGAGUUCAUAGCCCAUGCAGACUGUGUGCCCUCUCCCCCUUUGUA
This is an RNA transcript of Rhineura floridana, 9960 nucleotides long. It is a transcript of the gene named chromodomain helicase DNA binding protein 5, with no coding region annotated. The transcript is spliced from 44 exons. The record is from RefSeq and is a predicted model, not a curated record. NCBI's taxonomy places the organism in Eukaryota, Metazoa, Chordata, Lepidosauria, Squamata, Rhineuridae.